This 475-nucleotide ribosomal RNA is filed under the name uncultured bacterium. RNAcentral's name for it is "bacterial SSU rRNA". It matches the Rfam family "Bacterial small subunit ribosomal RNA", at positions 28 to 523 of the family's 1533-position model. The record is from RNAcentral.
GACGAACGCUGGCGGCGUGCUUAACACAUGCAAGUCGAACGGUGACGAGGAGCUUGCUCCUCUGAUCAGUGGCGAACGGGUGAGUAACACGUGAGCAACCUGCCCCAGACUCUGGGAUAACAGUUGGAAACAGCUGCUAAUACCGGAUACGAGACGGAGAGGCAUCUCUACCGUCUGGAAAGUUUUUCGGUCUGGGAUGGACUCGCGGCCUAUCAGCUAGUUGGUGAGGUAAUGGCUCACCAAGGCGACGACGGGUAGCCGGCCUGAGAGGGCGACCGGCCACACUGGGACUGAGACACGGCCCAGACUCCUACGGGAGGCAGCAGUGGGGAAUAUUGCACAAUGGGCGAAAGCCUGAUGCAGCGACGCCGCGUGAGGGAUGACGGCCUUCGGUUGUAACGUCUUCAGCAGGAGAAGCGAAGUGACGGUACUGCAGAAGAAGCACCGGCUAACUACGUGCCAGCAGCCGCGGUAA